Molecule: ribosomal RNA, 301 nt
Filed under: uncultured bacterium
Lineage: Bacteria
Description: partial 16S ribosomal RNA
Rfam family: Bacterial small subunit ribosomal RNA
Source: RNAcentral
CAGCCGCCACGGUAAAACGGAGGGUGCAAGCGUUAAUCGGAAUUACUGGGCGUAAAGCGCACGCAGGCGGUCUGUCAAGUCAGAUGUGAAAUCCCCGAGCUUAACUUGGGAACUGCAUUUGAAACUGGCAAGCUAGAGUCUUGUAGAGGGGGGUAGAAUUCCAGGUGUAGCGGUGAAAUGCGUAGAGAUCUGGAGGAAUACCGGUGGCGAAGGCGGCCCCCUGGACAAAGACUGACGCUCAGGUGCGAAAGCGUGGGGAGCAAACAGGAUUAGAUACCCGCGUAGUCCCUGUCUCUUAUAC